RNAcentral lists this ribosomal RNA (202 nucleotides) under Treponema sp. enrichment culture clone AVCTGRB5B. RNAcentral describes it as "partial 16S ribosomal RNA". It matches the Rfam family "Bacterial small subunit ribosomal RNA", at positions 331 to 524 of the family's 1533-position model. The record is from RNAcentral. Lineage: Bacteria; Pseudomonadati; Spirochaetota; Spirochaetia; Treponematales; Treponemataceae.
ACGGACUCCUACGGGAGGCAGCAGCUAAGAAUAUUCCGCAAUGGGGGAAACCCUGACGGAGCGACGCCGCGUGGAUGAUGAAGGUCGGAAGAUUGUAAAAUCCUUUUAUGACUGAGGAAUAAGGAGGGUGAGAGAAACGCCUUCUGGUGACUGUAGGUCAUGAAUAAGCAACGGCUAAUUACGUGCCAGCAGCCGCGGUAAU